This 456-nucleotide ribosomal RNA is filed under the name uncultured bacterium. RNAcentral's name for it is "bacterial SSU rRNA". It matches the Rfam family "Bacterial small subunit ribosomal RNA", at positions 8 to 507 of the family's 1533-position model. The record is from RNAcentral.
AGAGUUUGAUCCUGGCUACAGAACGAACGCUGGCGGCAUGCCUAACACAUGCAAGUCGAACGAAGCCUUCGGGGCUUAGUGGCGCACGGGUGCGUAACGCGUGGGAAUCUGCCCUUGGGUUCGGAAUAACAGUUAGAAAUGACUGCUAAUACCGAAUGAUGUCUUCGGACCAAAGAUUUAUCGCCCAAGGAUGAGCCCGCGUCGGAUUAGCUAGUUGGUGAGGUUAAAGGCUCACCAAGGCGACGAUCCGUAGCUGGUCUGAGAGGAUGAUCAGCCACACUGGGACUGAGACACGGCCCAGACUCCUACGGGAGGCAGCAGUGGGGAAUAUUGGACAAUGGGCGAAAGCCUGAUCCAGCAAUGCCGCGUGAGUGAUGAAGGCCUUAGGGUUGUAAAGCUCUUUUACCCGGGAUGAUAAUGACAGUACCGGGAGAAUAAGCCCCGGCUAACUCCGUG